GAUGAACGCUGGCGGUAUGCUUAACACAUGCAAGUCGAACGAACCCUUCGGGGUUAGUGGCGGACGGGUGAGUAACGCGUGAGGAUCUGCCCUUAGGAGGGGAACAACAGUUGGAAACGACUGCUAAUGCCCCAUAUGCCGAGAGGUGAAACAGUUAAUUCUGCCUAGGGAUGAACUCGCGUCUGAUUAGCUAGUUGGUUGGGUAAUGGCCGACCAAGGCGACGAUCAGUAGCUGGUCUAAGAGGAUGAUCAGCCACACUGGGACUGAGACACGGCCCAGACUCCUACGGGAGGCAGCAGUGGGGAAUUUUCCGCAAUGGGCGAAAGCCUGACGGAGCAAUGCCGCGUGAGGGAGGAAGGCCUUAGGGUUGUAAACCUCUUUUCUCUGGGAAGAAG
RNAcentral lists this ribosomal RNA (396 nucleotides) under uncultured Pseudanabaenaceae cyanobacterium. RNAcentral's name for it is "bacterial SSU rRNA". It matches the Rfam family "Bacterial small subunit ribosomal RNA", at positions 28 to 450 of the family's 1533-position model. The record is from RNAcentral. Lineage: Bacteria; Bacillati; Cyanobacteriota; Cyanophyceae; Pseudanabaenales; Pseudanabaenaceae.